Molecule: ribosomal RNA, 490 nt
Filed under: uncultured bacterium
Lineage: Bacteria
Description: partial 16S ribosomal RNA
Rfam family: Bacterial small subunit ribosomal RNA
Source: RNAcentral
AUUGAACGCUGGCGGCAGGCCUAACACAUGCAAGUCGAACGGUAACAGAAAGCAGCUUGCUGCUUUGCUGACGAGUGGCGGACGGGUGAGUAAUGUCUGGGAAACUGCCUGAUGGAGGGGGAUAACUACUGGAAACGGUAGCUAAUACCGCAUAACGUCGCAAGACCAAAGAGGGGGACCUUCGGGCCUCUUGCCAUCGGAUGUGCCCAGAUGGGAUUAGCUAGUAGGUGGGGUAACGGCUCACCUAGGCGACGAUCCCUAGCUGGUCUGAGAGGAUGACCAGCCACACUGGAACUGAGACACGGUCCAGACUCCUACGGGAGGCAGCAGUGGGGAAUAUUGCACAUUGGGCGCAAGCCUGAUGCAGCCAUGCCGCGUGUAUGAAGAAGGCCUUCGGGUUGUAAAGUACUUUCAGCGGGGAGGAAGGGAGUAAAGUUAAUACCUUUGCUCAUUGACGUUACCCGCAGAAGAAGCACCGGCUAACUCCGUG